GUGGUUAGUCCCAGUGUGUCUGUAGAUUGGAGCAGUGCUGCAGUCCUGGACGCCACACAGAGUGAUACUGGUUCCUGCCGACAGGGCCUGUAGAGUCCUCGGGCUCCCUGUGCGAUGGUUCCACACAUU
Molecule: non-coding RNA, 129 nt
Organism: Danio aesculapii
Lineage: Eukaryota; Metazoa; Chordata; Actinopteri; Cypriniformes; Danionidae
Source: RefSeq, a predicted model, not a curated record